Molecule: ribosomal RNA, 2900 nt
Filed under: Klebsiella pneumoniae
Lineage: Bacteria; Pseudomonadati; Pseudomonadota; Gammaproteobacteria; Enterobacterales; Enterobacteriaceae
Description: bacterial LSU rRNA
Rfam family: Bacterial large subunit ribosomal RNA
Source: RNAcentral
UUAAGCGACUAAGCGUACACGGUGGAUGCCCUGGCAGUCAGAGGCGAUGAAGGACGUGCUAAUCUGCGAAAAGCGUCGGUAAGGUGAUAUGAACCGUUAUAGCCGGCGAUGUCCGAAUGGGGAAACCCAGUGCAAUUCGUUGCACUAUCGUUAACUGAAUACAUAGGUUAACGAGGCGAACCGGGGGAACUGAAACAUCUAAGUACCCCGAGGAAAAGAAAUCAACCGAGAUUCCCCCAGUAGCGGCGAGCGAACGGGGAGCAGCCCAGAGUCUGAAUCAGCUUGUGUGUUAGUGGAACGGUCUGGAAAGUCCGACGGUACAGGGUGAUAGUCCCGUACACCAAAAUGCACAGGUUGUGAACUCGAAGAGUAGGGCGGGACACGUGGUAUCCUGUCUGAAUAUGGGGGGACCAUCCUCCAAGGCUAAAUACUCCUGACUGACCGAUAGUGAACCAGUACCGUGAGGGAAAGGCGAAAAGAACCCCGGCGAGGGGAGUGAAAAAGAACCUGAAACCGUGUACGUACAAGCAGUGGGAGCACCUUCGGGUGUGACUGCGUACCUUUUGUAUAAUGGGUCAGCGACUUAUAUUCUGUAGCAAGGUUAACCGUAUAGGGGAGCCGCAGGGAAACCGAGUCUUAACUGGGCGUUAAGUUGCAGGGUAUAGACCCGAAACCCGGUGAUCUAGCCAUGGGCAGGUUGAAGGUUGGGUAACACUAACUGGAGGACCGAACCGACUAAUGUUGAAAAAUUAGCGGAUGACUUGUGGCUGGGGGUGAAAGGCCAAUCAAACCGGGAGAUAGCUGGUUCUCCCCGAAAGCUAUUUAGGUAGCGCCUCGUGAAUUCAUCUUCGGGGGUAGAGCACUGUUUCGGCUAGGGGGUCAUCCCGACUUACCAACCCGAUGCAAACUACGAAUACCGAAGAAUGUUAUCACGGGAGACACACGGCGGGUGCUAACGUCCGUCGUGAAGAGGGAAACAACCCAGACCGCCAGCUAAGGUCCCAAAGUCAUGGUUAAGUGGGAAACGAUGUGGGAAGGCACAGACAGCCAGGAUGUUGGCUUAGAAGCAGCCAUCAUUUAAAGAAAGCGUAAUAGCUCACUGGUCGAGUCGGCCUGCGCGGAAGAUGUAACGGGGCUAAACCAUGCACCGAAGCUGCGGCAGCGACACUAUGUGUUGUUGGGUAGGGGAGCGUUCUGUAAGCCUGCGAAGGUGACCUGUGAGGGUUGCUGGAGGUAUCAGAAGUGCGAAUGCUGACAUAAGUAACGAUAAAGCGGGUGAAAAGCCCGCUCGCCGGAAGACCAAGGGUUCCUGUCCAACGUUAAUCGGGGCAGGGUGAGUCGACCCCUAAGGCGAGGCCGAAAGGCGUAGUCGAUGGGAAACAGGUUAAUAUUCCUGUACUUGGUGUUACUGCGAAGGGGGGACGGAGAAGGCUAUGUUAGCCGGGCGACGGUUGUCCCGGUUUAAGCAUGUAGGCUGAUUGUCCAGGCAAAUCCGGAUAAUCAAGGCUGAGGUGUGAUGACGAGGCACUACGGUGCUGAAGUAACAAAUGCCCUGCUUCCAGGAAAAGCCUCUAAGCAUCAGGUAACAUUAAAUCGUACCCCAAACCGACACAGGUGGUCAGGUAGAGAAUACCAAGGCGCUUGAGAGAACUCGGGUGAAGGAACUAGGCAAAAUGGUGCCGUAACUUCGGGAGAAGGCACGCUGGUGUGUAGGUGAAGUCCCUGCGGAUGGAGCUGAGACCAGUCGAAGAUACCAGCUGGCUGCAACUGUUUAUUAAAAACACAGCACUGUGCAAACACGAAAGUGGACGUAUACGGUGUGACGCCUGCCCGGUGCCGGAAGGUUAAUUGAUGGGGUUAUCCGUAAGGAGAAGCUCUUGAUCGAAGCCCCGGUAAACGGCGGCCGUAACUAUAACGGUCCUAAGGUAGCGAAAUUCCUUGUCGGGUAAGUUCCGACCUGCACGAAUGGCGUAAUGAUGGCCAGGCUGUCUCCACCCGAGACUCAGUGAAAUUGAACUCGCUGUGAAGAUGCAGUGUACCCGCGGCAAGACGGAAAGACCCCGUGAACCUUUACUAUAGCUUGACACUGAACAUUGAGCCUUGAUGUGUAGGAUAGGUGGGAGGCUUUGAAGCGUGGACGCCAGUCUGCGUGGAGCCAACCUUGAAAUACCACCCUUUAAUGUUUGAUGUUCUAACGUUGGCCCCUGACCGGGGUUGCGGACAGUGUCUGGUGGGUAGUUUGACUGGGGCGGUCUCCUCCCAAAGCGUAACGGAGGAGCACGAAGGUUAGCUAAUCCUGGUCGGACAUCAGGAGGUUAGUGCAAUGGCAUAAGCUAGCUUGACUGCGAGCGUGACGGCGCGAGCAGGUGCGAAAGCAGGUCAUAGUGAUCCGGUGGUUCUGAAUGGAAGGGCCAUCGCUCAACGGAUAAAAGGUACUCCGGGGAUAACAGGCUGAUACCGCCCAAGAGUUCAUAUCGACGGCGGUGUUUGGCACCUCGAUGUCGGCUCAUCACAUCCUGGGGCUGAAGUAGGUCCCAAGGGUAUGGCUGUUCGCCAUUUAAAGUGGUACGCGAGCUGGGUUUAGAACGUCGUGAGACAGUUCGGUCCCUAUCUGCCGUGGGCGCUGGAGAAUUGAGGGGGGCUGCUCCUAGUACGAGAGGACCGGAGUGGACGCAUCACUGGUGUUCGGGUUGUCAUGCCAAUGGCACUGCCCGGUAGCUAAAUGCGGAAGAGAUAAGUGCUGAAAGCAUCUAAGCACGAAACUUGCCCCGAGAUGAGUUCUCCCUGAGACUUUAAGUCUCCUGAAGGAACGUUGAAGACGACGACGUUGAUAGGCCGGGUGUGUAAGCGCAGCGAUGCGUUGAGCUAACCGGUACUAAUGAACCGUGAGGCUUAACCUU